GUUCUGUUGCGAUAGAACAUUUGCUAAAAUUGGAACGAUGCAGAAAAGAUAAGCAUGGCCUCUGCAUGAUAACAAUAGGUCGCGAGGGAUAGCUUCCGCCCUCAUUAAAACCUUUUU
This 117-nucleotide small nuclear RNA is filed under the name Glossina austeni. Lineage: Eukaryota; Metazoa; Arthropoda; Insecta; Diptera; Glossinidae. The record is from RNAcentral.